UGUUGGUGGAAAAAUGGACCACCCCACAAAUGUAAUUAUAGCACCCAAAUCCAUCAGCAAGCUCGAGCUCAUCCUAAGUGAUGGAGCUCUUCCGCUCUCGAGCUCAUCCUAAGUGAUCGGGCUCUUCCGCUCUCGAGCUCAUCCUAAGUGAUCGGGCUCUUCCGCUCUCGAGCUCGUAGACCAGAGAGCCGAGACCAGAGAGCCGAGACCAGAAGGCCGAGACCAGAGAGCCGAGACCAGA
This 241-nucleotide long non-coding RNA is filed under the name Phoenix dactylifera (date palm). Its description in RNAcentral is "long non-coding RNA (PDAC_LNC003985)". The record is from RNAcentral. Lineage: Eukaryota; Viridiplantae; Streptophyta; Magnoliopsida; Arecales; Arecaceae.